CUCUCUAAAUGAAAGAAGAAGAAGAGAAGAAGAAGAGGAAGGAGAAGGAGAGAAAGAAGAAAAGGGAGGAGAAGAAGCUUGGAGGGACCAUCAUCACCAUCAUCUUCUUCUUCUUCACUUUGGAGCAAGCUUUUGGAGGUAACCUCCUUGCUCAUCCAUGGUAGAUUUGUAGGGUUUGGUUUAAAUACCUUAUAAAUGGAUUUAGAGGAAUCCUAGCAUGCUAUCUAGAUGAAUGAUACCUAAUUCAUGAAGGUAUUUGGUGGUUUUUGCCGUAGUCGCAAACUAGGGCUCAAAAAUGGGAUUUUUGUAAAUAGAUGGGUUUGAUCUCAAAUAACCCUCUGUAAACCUAAUUGAUAGGUAACGAAACACGUUGGCGAAGACGGUUCGGCAAUCCGACGAGCUGUUACAAAGAUAUUGAAGAAACG
This 425-nucleotide long non-coding RNA is filed under the name Ananas comosus (pineapple). RNAcentral describes it as "long non-coding RNA (ACOM_LNC044618)". The record is from RNAcentral. Lineage: Eukaryota; Viridiplantae; Streptophyta; Magnoliopsida; Poales; Bromeliaceae.